RNAcentral lists this ribosomal RNA (468 nucleotides) under Triticum aestivum (bread wheat). Its description in RNAcentral is "partial small subunit ribosomal RNA". Lineage: Eukaryota; Viridiplantae; Streptophyta; Magnoliopsida; Poales; Poaceae. The record is from RNAcentral.
AUGGAUUCGUGUGCGACAGGGACAGGGAGGCGGAUCUGGAGGCUUUCGGCGAGGCGGGGUUCGCCUGUGACGAGGAGGAUGGCCGGAGAGCGGCUUCCCGAGAGGAUCCAUAGCAUCCGCGGCUCUAGGACAAAAAGGAGACACGGUGGUGAGGGAUAUAACAAGGGAGAAAGGAGGGGCGGUGCGGUGACCUUGGUCGGAGCUCACCGGUGUCCGGAAAUGGUAGACGGGCGCCACUGCUACUGCAUCCCUGGUAUUCCUCCUCUCACCUCUCCUGCCUUAAUGACAUCUGUUGCGUCGCCAAAGCCUUGGCCGCACAUCACCAGCAUCUCCGGCCUCGAGUACUCCUGCCACUUCACCCAGAGGCCCGUCGCCAUGACCGGAUCCAGUAUGGUUCCUCUAAUGCCCACCCUCUCCCUCAUGGCACAUGUGCUAUUUUACUCGGAAAGGCCAUUGCUCACACUUUGA